This 116-nucleotide ribosomal RNA is filed under the name Sulfurimonas autotrophica. The record is from RNAcentral. Lineage: Bacteria; Pseudomonadati; Campylobacterota; Epsilonproteobacteria; Campylobacterales; Sulfurimonadaceae.
CUAGGUGGCUAUAGAGAGAGGGAAACGCCUGGUCCCAUUCCGAACCCAGAAGCUAAGCCUCUCAUCGCUGAUAAUACUGCAGGUUUCACUUGUGGGAAUGUAGGUCGCCGCCUAGU